RNAcentral lists this long non-coding RNA (902 nucleotides) under Helianthus annuus (common sunflower). The record is from RNAcentral. Lineage: Eukaryota; Viridiplantae; Streptophyta; Magnoliopsida; Asterales; Asteraceae.
GCCGGCAGGCAGGGGAGCCGGACAGGGAAGGAGCCGGAAGGAGCCCGGGAGAGCAGGGAGCCGGACGCGGGGAAGAGGCGGAGCCGAAAACGAGGGCAGGGCGGACGGGGGCCGAAGGAGAAGGAGCAGGGAGCCGGCAGCCGCGACGCACAAACCAGGGGAGGGAGGAGAGGGCAGGGAGCGGCAGCAGAGCGGCAAAGAGCGCAAAAGCACCACAGAGCCGGGGGGCAACCCCAGGGAGCCGGGGGAGGAGCCCCAGGGGCCGCCAGCAGCGCACGAGGAGCCGGGAGAGGGCACGGCGGGGGACCAGGACCCACGGCGGGGCGGACAACCGCAGCGGACGGGCGAGAGGAGGAGCCGACGGAGAAGGGGAGACGGACCAGACAGCCGGGCCGAAGGGGGCGAACGGGGGCACGGGAGCGAAGGGGGGACAGGGGCAGGGCACGAAGGGGGGAGAGGCGCCAGAAGGGCCAGACGCCAGGGGACAGACGAGCCGGGGGCGGGGCCCCAGGGAGCCGGGGGCGGGGCCCCAGGGAGCCGGGGGCGGGGCCCCAGGGAGCCGCGGGGAGCAGGCGCAGGGAGCCGGGGGGCAGGGCCCCAGGACGAAGGAGCGGGACAGGGGCGGAGGCCCAAGGGAGGGCCAGGGGCAGGGGGGAAGGGAAACAAGAAGGAGCCGGAAGCCGGAGGAGCAGAAAGGGGAGCGAGGGGGCGGAGGAAGGGGAGGAGCCGAACGGGGAGCCGCAGGGAGGAGCCGGGACGAGGGGAGGAGAGCGGAGCCGAACCAACCCGGAGACGGGGACAACCGAACCGAGGAGCCGGAACGAAAGACGGGGAAAGGGCAAGAGAGGAGAGGGGAGCAGGAGCAGAGCCGAAGGGAGGAAACAGGGGGCAACGCGGGGAGG